UAGGGAAUAUUGCGCAAUGGGCGAAAGCCUGACGCAGCGACGCCGCGUGCGGGAUGACAGCGUUAUGCGUUGUAAACCGCUUUUGGCAGGGAAGAAGCGAAAGUGACGGUACCUGCAGAAUAAGCCCCGGCCAACUACGUGCCAGCAGCCGCGGUAAUACGUAGGGGGCAAGCGUUGUCCGGAUUCAUUGGGCGUAAAGAGCUCGUAGGCGGUUUGCCAAGCCGGUGGUGAAAACUCGGGACUCAACUCCGAGCCUGCCACCGGAACUGGCAGACUUGAGUCUGGUAGGGGAGUGUGGAAUUCCUGGUGUAGCGGUGGAAUGCGCAGAUAUCAGGAGGAACACCGGUGGCGAAGGCGGCACUCUGGGCCAGUACUGACGCUGAGGAGCGAAAGCUAGGGGAGCAAACAGG
RNAcentral lists this ribosomal RNA (410 nucleotides) under uncultured bacterium. Its description in RNAcentral is "bacterial SSU rRNA". It matches the Rfam family "Bacterial small subunit ribosomal RNA", at positions 355 to 776 of the family's 1533-position model. The record is from RNAcentral.